This is a non-coding RNA of Pantherophis guttatus, 408 nucleotides long. NCBI's taxonomy places the organism in Eukaryota, Metazoa, Chordata, Lepidosauria, Squamata, Colubridae. The record is from RefSeq and is a predicted model, not a curated record.
UUUUCAGCCUCCGUAGGGCCUCCAAGGGAGUGGGAAAGGCUGUUUUCGCCGUUCCCAGAUACACAGAGAGGAUCUGGAACCAGAAACAGGCAAAGGCAAGAAGAAACAAAUUAGUAAAUAUUUAAUCUGAGUACACCCAGAGUGGUAAAUCCCAGCAGAUCCACCAAGAUGAAUAAAACUUCCUAAUAAGACAGAGAAAAAGAAAUAUCCAUAUGCAAAAGGCCCACCGGGGAUAUUGUGAAAUCCGGCAGCACAGAAAAAUUCCAACUUUACACCUUCAUUCCUCAUUACAAUUUCAUCACGAUCAAUUUAUCUUUCGUCACUGAAAGACUUAAAGUAGGGCCAGCGAAUUUAAAAUAGAUUCAUUAAAAACAUACAGAGCCUUACAUUAAAAGGUAAUUGUUGAAA